Molecule: ribosomal RNA, 253 nt
Filed under: uncultured bacterium
Lineage: Bacteria
Description: partial 16S ribosomal RNA
Rfam family: Bacterial small subunit ribosomal RNA
Source: RNAcentral
UACGUAGGCAGCAAGCGUUGUUCGGAGUUACUGGGCGUAAAGGGUGUGCAGGCGGUUGCUUAAGUUUGGUGUGAAAUCUCCCGGCUUAACCGGGAGGGUGCGCCGAAUACUGAGUGACUCGAGUGCGGGAGAGGAGAGUGGAAUUCCUGGUGUAGCGGUGAAAUGCGUAGAUAUCAGGAGGAACACCGGUGGUGUAGACGGCUCUCUGGACCGUAACUGACGCUGAGACACGAAAGCGUGGGUAGCAAACAGG